RNAcentral lists this long non-coding RNA (4524 nucleotides) under Nicotiana tabacum (common tobacco). Its description in RNAcentral is "long non-coding RNA (NTAB_LNC013952)". Lineage: Eukaryota; Viridiplantae; Streptophyta; Magnoliopsida; Solanales; Solanaceae. The record is from RNAcentral.
UAGAGCUAAGGACCUAAUCAGCUGCACAUAGACAUAGCAAGAAAGAGAAGGGAGAGAACGGACGGAAAAAAAGGGAAUUGAGAGCGGCCUACUUCUUCUUCUAAAAUACUAGUUCCCUCCUUGGAUUCAUUUCCAUAACCAUGUGAAUACUCCGUUCAACACCAUCUGCUAUUAACCUUCAAAGCCACAAAUAGUUCCAUCCCUACUAAUUUUGUUUUUAAUUCUAACCUUCAACAACUUUCCACCAUAAUUCCUCCACGUAAAAACAUUACACAUUCACCUUCACCCAUUCUUCUACCACUGAGAUAAACCCAAUUCCUCUACCCAUAGUCACAAAAUACAUUAUUUCCAACAACUUCUGUUCUUAGCCAGGUCCAAACGGAGGUGAAAGUUCAAUUUCGAGUCAGGGCAUUUUCGUUCGAGAUUGCAGAUCCGAGUUCCCGUCGUGGUUCACUCUUUUCCGGUCAUAUUUCAAUUGGAGCUCAUUGUGGCAUUAACGGUUGGAUCGGAUUAUUUGUUGUACAUCUUGCUGGAGGUUAAUUAAAAUUGGAGAAGUUCCUACUUUAAUUGAGGUCCAUUUCUUUUUCUUUUCCCAAUUUGAUAUUACUUUACUCCUUACUUUAAUCAAUUUCUCUGAUGUGCUUAUUUGUGCUUAGUUUGUUUAUUACUUAACUGCAUUUGAUAAAUGUUCAGAUAUAAGCUAUUUGUUUGUAUAUUUCCUAAAUUGUGUUUGUUGGGGUGAGAACAUUUGUGCAGAAAAGUAAUCCAAAAUCGACGAUGGAUAAAUUUAGUAACAUGGAUAGUUAAAGUAAAUGACCGAGAAGAUAUCAAACGUGCAUAAUAGGUGUUGAACGUGGUUUAAUUAACAAGUGAAAAUUAUUUCUUUCGUGUUGGAAAAGACAAAUAAUUUGGAUAUUGAAUGAAUUUUACAUCGUUUCAUCUUUUUUUAAUUAAGAAUGGCUAGUAGCAUGUUUAGGCCUACCACACUCGGGUAGGCAAACUUUAGGAUUUUCCUUUUAUUUUCUCUUAUAUGAGGUGAGAGGUCGCCCCUUUUAGUUAAUUAAUUUAUUCGGGAAUGCCUCGAAGAACUUGUAAUAUUUUGGAGGCCGAGCAUUGUGGAGGGAGCAUAGUAUAGGUUAAUAUAGGAUUGUUAAUAUUUUAAUUUUCUUUUCUUUUCUUUUCUUUUGUUUAUCAGGCGGGGACGACCUCGAGCCUCUUCUGUGUUUAUUUUCGCUCUUUGUGUGUUUCCACCUCAAUCUCAGUAUUUCUAAAAAGCCAAUUAGAUCAUGUACGCAACCGUGAUUUUCACGGGACUCGGGGAAUGCCUAACACCUUCUCCCCGAGUCAAAUGAACCCCCUUAUCUAGAACCUCUAGUGCAAACUAGUUUAGAGUCAAAUAUGUUUUUUAAGAUAAAAUCGCUUUUAAAUGGUGACUUGGCACAUCGAGAAUAUAUACCAAGUGACGACUCUGAAAUAAUCUCUUUUGAACAAAUGUUUUGUCACUUUUUAAUUGAAAAUGCCUUUUGAGAUUUACAAAUCUUUUAUUUAUUUAAAAGAGGAUUAGUAAGGUCAAAAAAAAAAAGGGAUGUUACCGCUUAUAGGAAAAUUUCCCCUUCUUCCAUUCUAGAUCGUGCUUUAUAGCAUAAGGAUUGAAGCUAAAUUUUAUUUCUGUCAAUAUUACAUAUGAUUGACACAUGGCACAACCGAAGGGCGUAAGAUUCGAUGCUUAAGUAAUGGUAAUAGCUACUUGAAGAGUAGUGCAUGGGUUAAUAUUUGGUCCAUAUGAUGGGGAUAAAUGAGGUCAAGAAAGAGAUCACGAAUAAGUUAAGAUCACAUAUUAAAGUGCCAAGGGCCUAUUCAAUAGAACAUGGGGUGAUGAAAAUAAAGAAAUCCGUCAAAAGUGAUAAUUGGAUUCAUGAAGGUAAUAUUACUAACGAAAUGGAUAGGAGAACAUGAAAUAUUAUAUCUCCAAACCAUGUUCAAGAUAUAUCGAAGCAACAGAAUGGCCGAUCACUUUGACGCCAUCACCAAUGAGAUCAAACGAGAGAUGGACAAAGAGAAUUAAAUGGCCUGGAGUUGAGCAAGAAUGAUCAUACCUCGACAUUCUAUGAGGCAGUUCAGACAACAAACAAGGACCACAUUGGUCAAAGUAACGCGAAUUAGUUAAGAUUGCAACCCAUCCUGUGGCUUCGGUAAGAAGAGGCACUUAAGAGUGCAUAUGAACAUCUAUGAUAACAAGUAAAUAGACUCAAACUUGGUAAAUAGAUGAGUUGCUAAGGGAUGAGAUGCACAAUAUAGACGACUGAAAUACAUAACCUUGAAGGUUACAAAGGUAAUAUGGAUUACCAGGGAGGCAAAUAUGUAACGACCCGGCCGGUCGUUUCGAAUAUUACAACCCCGUCUUCCCAUUUAAUACUCAAAUUGUGCGGCCGAUAUGCGGACCACAUAUCCAUUUUGCGGUCGCAUAUUCCGGAGCUUCAUUAAUCUGAUUUUAUAAACCCGACCCCAUUCUUAUAAAACACUAUUGGAGGUCAUUUAGAAGGGUUUCAUUUGAUAUUUUAGAGAGAUAUGAGAGCAUCUUAGAGAGAGAAAGUGAAGACCUAGUCAUUUGCCCAUCAAUUCUUGUUUAAGGUUGAAAGAUUUCACAAGGAUCUUGCUAAGGUUUCAAAGAGGUAAGAAUUUCUAACCCUUAUCUUCAAUUUCGAGUUUGGGUAAAGAUGGAUAAUUGGGAGUAUGAUUCUUAGCUAUGAGAGUAUUAUUUAUACAUACACAUACCAAUAAGGUUUGUGGAAAGAUUGUUGAGUUCAAAUGGGUAAAGAUUGAGUUCAAAAUGGUAGAAAUCUUCAAAGACUUUAAUAGAGGAUUUGAGGGCCGAGUUGAUGUCGGAAUUUGGUAAAAUUUAUAUGGUUGGACUCGUGGUUAGAUGAGUGUUCAUAUUUUAUAACUUUUGUCAGGUUCUGAGAUGUGUGGUCCACGGACAAUUUUUGAGUUAAAUUUUGAAUUUUAUUGGAAAAUUAGUAUUUUCUUAUGGAAUUAAUUCCAAUAAUCUUUAAUGACUGAAUCGGAUAAUUUAUGGCUAGAUUCAAGGCAUUUGAAGGCCAAUUUCCGAGGUAAGGGCAUAGUAGAAUAAAUAUUUACACGAUUUAAGGUAAGUAACAGUUCUAAAUUUGGUCCUGAGGGUAUAAAACCCUGAAUUAUAUGUUAUGUGAUUGGUCUCGAGGUGACGCACAUGCUAGGUGAUGGGCGUGUGGGCGUGCACCGUAGUAAUUAUGACUUGGUCAAAUUCCAUGGAACUGUGUAGUUGAAUAAUCUGUUGAUAUCCAUACAUUCUCUACGUGUUAGAGAAAAUUGAGCUGAGACUCGUAUUAAAAAUCAUGCUUAGACAUAUGUUGUUAUUAUUGGUACCCACUUGGGUCAUUUCUGUGGUUGAAAUAUAUGUUCAAAUUGUAAUUUCACACUCAAUCAUGUUCAUUCAUUUCAUAUCAUAUCUCAGUCUCCGUUGCUAUUUAUUGAUACAUCAUAUUAUCAUUUUGGGCUGAUUUUCAUGAGAUCUUUAGCCCGAGAGACUGGAGAGGUGAUGACUGAGUGAGGUCGAGGGCUUAAUUGUGAGGAUAUAUAUGGAAUCUGGUUGCACGCCGCAACAUGUUUUGUUGAUUUAUGACAUGAUUGGUUUGUUAUAGCGCUUGGGCUGAAGCAGCCCCUCCGGAGUCUGUACACACCCUUAGUGAGCGCAUGUACCUACUGAUUGCGAGUGUCGAGUGCCGAGUACUGAGUGACUGUAAGAAAAGAGUGAAUGUAGGGUUGGAGUGAAUGGGAGGACUAAGUAAUGGUUACUCUGAGAGGAUGCAUUGAUUUCAUUAUUUGUUGCAUUUUCGCUAUCAUAUAACACUAUUUUGGAAAUUUCGGAAAACCAUUAUUUUCUGUUUUAGUCAAAUUUGAUAUGAAAUUCCUGUGAAAUUUUUAAUGUUAAACUUGAGAGCAUGCCUACCCUUUUAUGUUUGAAAGUACUGUAUUUGGACUUAGAUGAGAAGCUCGUCACUACUUUCAGUUCCUUAAUUAUUAUUGUUACUUGCUGAAUUGGUUAUACUCAUACUACACCCUGCACUUCGUGUGCAGAUCCAGGUGAUCUCGGACACAGGGGUGUUGAUUCUUUCACACAGUUGAUUUUUCUGAGAUUCAGAGGUAGCUGCCAUGUUUCGUAGACCUUGUCUCUCCUUCCCUAUCUCCCUGUUUAUUGUAUUUGGUCUUAGACUAUUAUAGACCGUGUUUUCCAGACAUGUAAUGUAUAGAUGCUCAUGUACUUAGUGACACCGGGUUUUGGGAAUAUGUUUUACCUAGUAUUUGUAGGAUUUUCUCUUAAACUUAAUUAUGAUGUUUUUCGUAUUUAAAAGAUAUUGUGGGUUAUUGAUGAUGUCGGCUUGCCAAGUAUUGAGAUAGGCGCCAUCACGACGGGUGAGAUUUCGGGUCGUGACAAUUCAGUAUCAGAGCCUAGGUUACAUAUGUCUCACGAGUCAUGAGCAGGUU